GUUUGAGUUCACACCAACCUUGAUUAGGGAUGGUGUCAUUAUUGCUACCAAAAGCUAUACUGAGUACUUUAAGAGAAGUCAUAUGUCCAAUGUUUGGGAGAAAGUUGUCAUUUAUAGAAGAUCCAUCCAAGUAUAGGUACUCCAGUGUGCUCAGAUUUCUUAAUGCGUAAAUUAUGGUGGGAGCGGUGAGAUCACUAUUUUCAUAAGAAAGUGAUUUAAGA
This 221-nucleotide unclassified non-coding RNA is filed under the name Hevea brasiliensis (rubber tree). The record is from RNAcentral. Lineage: Eukaryota; Viridiplantae; Streptophyta; Magnoliopsida; Malpighiales; Euphorbiaceae.